Molecule: ribosomal RNA, 466 nt
Filed under: uncultured bacterium
Lineage: Bacteria
Description: partial 16S ribosomal RNA
Rfam family: Bacterial small subunit ribosomal RNA
Source: RNAcentral
GAUGAACGCUGGCGGCGUGCUUAACACAUGCAAGUCGAACGGAAAGGCCCAAGCUUGCUUGGGUACUCGAGUGGCGAACGGGUGAGUAACACGUGGGUGAUCCGCCCUGCACUUCGGGAUAAGCCUGGGAAACUGGGUCUAAUACCGGAUAGGACCACAUUUUGGAUGGUGUGGUGGAAAGUUUUUCGGUGUGGGAUGAGCUCGCGGCCUAUCAGCUUGUUGGUGGGGUAAUGGCCUACCAAGGCGUCGACGGGUAGCCGGCCUGAGAGGGUGUACGGCCACAUUGGGACUGAGAUACGGCCCAGACUCCUACGGGAGGCAGCAGUGGGGAAUAUUGCACAAUGGGCGCAAGCCUGAUGCAGCGACGCCGCGUGGGGGAUGACGGCCUUCGGGUUGUAAACUCCUUUCGCUAGGGACGAAGCGUUAUGUGACGGUACCUGGAGAAGAAGCACCGGCUAACUACGUG